Molecule: ribosomal RNA, 450 nt
Filed under: uncultured bacterium
Lineage: Bacteria
Description: partial 16S ribosomal RNA
Rfam family: Bacterial small subunit ribosomal RNA
Source: RNAcentral
GUGGGGAAUAUUGGACAAUGGGCGAAAGCCUGAUCCAGCCAUGCCGCGUGUGUGAAGAAGGUCUUCGGAUUGUAAAGCACUUUAAGUUGGGAGGAAGGGCAGUAAGUUAAUACCUUGCUGUUUUGACGUUACCGACAGAAUAAGCACCGGCUAACUUCGUGCCAGCAGCCGCGGUAAUACGAAGGGUGCAAGCGUUAAUCGGAAUUACUGGGCGUAAAGCGCGCGUAGGUGGUUUUGUAAGUUGGAGGUGAAAGCCCCUGGCUCAACCUGGGAAAUGCCUUCAAUACUGGAUGACUAGAGUACGGUAGAGGGUAGUGGAAUUGCCUGUGUAGCGGUGAAAUGCGUAGAUAUAGGAAGGAACACCAGUGGCGAAGGCGACUACCUGGACUGAUACUGACACUGAGGUGCGAAAGCGUGGGGAGCAAACAGGAUUAGAUACCCGGGUAGUCC